UACGGAGGGUGCGAGCGUUGUCCGGAAUCAUUGGGCGUAAAGCGCGUGUAGGCGGUCCGGUAAGUCCGCUGUGAAAGUCGGGGGGCUCAACCCUCGGAUGCCGGUGGAUACUGUCGGUCUUGAGUACGGAAGAGGCGAGUGGAAUUCCUGGUGUAGCGGUGAAAUGCGCAGAUAUCAGGAGGAACACCAAUUGCGAAGGCAGCUCGCUGGGACGUUACUGACGCUGAGACGCGAAAGCGUGGGGAGCAAACAGG
RNAcentral lists this ribosomal RNA (254 nucleotides) under uncultured bacterium. Its description in RNAcentral is "partial 16S ribosomal RNA". It matches the Rfam family "Bacterial small subunit ribosomal RNA", at positions 524 to 776 of the family's 1533-position model. The record is from RNAcentral.